CCGCCUUUGGCUCAGGGUUCCGGGCAACCCGGAGGAAGUGGGGGCUGCGGGGCUGGCUCCGAGUGGCAGACUGGGGACGAGACGGUCGCUGCUGCCAGGCGUCCCAAGUCUGGACAGUUGCGUGGCUGGCACGGCCACACUUUGCGCAGAGUGGGGCGCGGGGCAGCGGCAGAGAGCGCCUGAGCAGGCCCGGGCAGCGGGCCGUCUGCGGACGGGACCUUCACCUGCCCCGGGCCGGGAGGGAGCGAUUCGCCCUGCGCGUAAAGGCGCCACGAGAACGUCUUUGGGCGCUGAAGCCAGUUGCACCUGUCUCCCCCUUGGAACAUUCUCGCUGGAACUUGUGGGUGCAGGAAGCAUCCUCAGAUUCUCUCUUCCUGCUGCCGUCAUGUCUGUCAGAGUCUCCUAGAGAGCCCGAGCAGCUGCGGAAGCUCUUCAUCUGCGGCUGCACUUUGAAACAACUGAUGAAGCCUGAGGA
This 475-nucleotide long non-coding RNA is filed under the name Oryctolagus cuniculus (rabbit). Its description in RNAcentral is "lncRNA (ENSOCUG00000034092.1)". The record is from RNAcentral. Lineage: Eukaryota; Metazoa; Chordata; Mammalia; Lagomorpha; Leporidae.